ACGUCGUUUAUUGGGUCUGUUA
Molecule: non-coding RNA, 22 nt
Filed under: Arabidopsis thaliana (thale cress)
Lineage: Eukaryota; Viridiplantae; Streptophyta; Magnoliopsida; Brassicales; Brassicaceae
Source: RNAcentral